Molecule: ribosomal RNA, 710 nt
Filed under: Hologymnosus doliatus
Lineage: Eukaryota; Metazoa; Chordata; Actinopteri; Labriformes; Labridae
Description: partial 12S ribosomal RNA
Rfam family: Bacterial small subunit ribosomal RNA (bases 1-475)
Source: RNAcentral
UAUCCGCCCGGGAACUACGAGCAACAGCUUAAAACCCAAAGGACUUGGCGGUGCUUUAGACCCACCUAGAGGAGCCUGUUCUAGAACCGAUAAUCCCCGUUGAACCUCACCUUUCCUUGCCUAAUCCGCCUAUAUACCGCCGUCGUCAGCUUACUCUGUGAGGAGUGCGAAGUAAGCAUAAUCGGUACAACCAAAAACGCCAGGUCGAGGUGUAGCGUAUGGAAAGGGAAGAAAUGGGCUACAUUCAUUAGUUAUAAUGAACACGGAUGAUAUCCUGAAACAAAUAUCUGAAGGAGGAUUUAGCAGUAAGAAGGGAGCAGAGUGCUCUUCUGAAGCCGGCUCUGAAGCGCGUACACACCGCCCGUCACUCUCCCCGAGCUAAAAACUCUUUAUUACUAAUAAACCAGAACUGUAAAGGGGAGGCAAGUCGUAACAUGGUAAGCGUACCGGAAGGUGCGCUUGGAAAAACCUCAGAGCAUAGCUAAAUAACGUAUAGCACCUCCCUUACACUGAGAAGACAUCCGUGCAACCCGGAUUGCCCUGAAGCCUAAUAGCUAGCCCAACCCCCUAAAAACAACAAACCACUAUUCAAUAACCCCACACACACCAACCAACACAAAACAAACCAUUUUUCCUUCCUAGUAUGGGAGACAGAAAAGAGACCACGGCGCAAUAUAAAAGUACCGCAAGGGAAAGCUGAAAGAGAAAUG